Molecule: ribosomal RNA, 751 nt
Filed under: uncultured bacterium
Lineage: Bacteria
Description: bacterial SSU rRNA
Rfam family: Bacterial small subunit ribosomal RNA
Source: RNAcentral
AUUGAACGCUGGCGGCAGGCUUAACACAUGCAAGUCGAACGAUGAAACCUAGCUUGCUAGGUGGAAUAGUGGCGGACGGGUGAGUAACACUUAGGAAUCUACCUAAUAGCGGGGGAUAGCCCGGGGAAACUCGGAAUAAUACCGCAUAUUUUCUACGGAAGAAAGGGGGCAGAAUACUGCUCUCACUAUUAGAUGAGCCUAAGCAGGAUUAGCCAGAUGGUGGGGUAACGGCCUACCAUAGCGACGAUCCUUAGCUGGUCUGAGAGGAUGAUCAGCCACACUGGGACUGAGACACGGCCCAGACUCCUACGGGAGGCAGCAGUGGGGAAUAUUGGACAAUGGGGGGAACCCUGAUCCAGCCAUGCCGCGUGUGUGAAGAAGGCCUUUUGGUUGUAAAGCACUUUAAGUAGCGAAGAAGACCCCAUGGUUAAUACCCAUGGGCGAUGACAUUAACUACAGAAUAAGCACCGGCUAACUCUGUGCCAGCAGCCGCGGUAAUACAGAGGGUGCAAGCGUUAAUCGGAAUUACUGGGCGUAAAGCGAACGUAGGUGGUUAAAUAAGUCAGAUGUGAAAUCCCCGAGCUUAACUUGGGAACUGCAUCUGAAACUGUAUAACUAGAGUAGGUGAGAGGAAAGUAGAAUUCCAGGUGUAGCGGUGAAAUGCGUAGAGAUCUGGAGGAAUACCGAUGGCGAAGGCAGCUUUCUGGCAUCAUACUGACACUGAGGUUCGAAAGCGUGGGUAGCAAACAGG